This 1271-nucleotide long non-coding RNA is filed under the name Callithrix jacchus (white-tufted-ear marmoset). RNAcentral describes it as "lncRNA (ENSCJAG00000086552.1)". Lineage: Eukaryota; Metazoa; Chordata; Mammalia; Primates; Cebidae. The record is from RNAcentral.
GUCCGGUAUUCCCCUCUUAUGGCGCUCUUGCUCCAUCCUCAGAACCAUCUAAAGAAAAGGCUGAGUGCAGUGGCUUAUGCCUGUAGUCCCACUGCUUUGAGAGGCUGAGGCAGGAAGAUCACUUGAAGCCAGGAGUUUGAGAUUAGUCUGGGCAAUACAGUAAGACCCUGUCUCUAUAAAAAAGUAAAAUAAAAUAGGUGUGUGGCGGCACAUGCCUAUAGUCCUAGCUACUGGGGAGGCUGAGGCUGGAGGCUCUUUGGAGCCCAGGAGUUGGAGGCUGUAAUGAGCUAUAAUUGCACCACUGCACUCCAGCCUAGGUAACAGGGAGCUAUCCUGUCUCUAAAAGUCAUAAAUAUAUAAAUAAAAUGAAUAAAGCUCCUCUAAUAAAGGAGACCCUGUGACCCUCCUGCAAACAAGUAAGAGCCAGUGUCUCUUGGGCUGCCCCCGCCUCUGCCGUUGCCCCUCGCUGCCACGUGCUGCCGCUGUUGAAUGGACCAUAGUGGCUUUUUUGAGGAGGGGAAGUCUCAGCUAAUUCCACUUCCUAAAUUAUCUCCUGUGGCCUGUUCUCACUGGGUUUCUAGAUGACGGCCCUCAGUGCCCAGCCCUUUGGGUUCUAUACAGUCCUCCUCCUCACCUUGGGGACCUAUGCCAGGAAGGUUCAGGAGUCAGCUCCCUGCCAGGCUCAUGGACACGUCCUUUCACCCCGAGAAAUGCCAGGGUUUCUCACCAGUCACUCCACCCAUUCCUCCCUCCCUUAAAUAAACUCCUUGCCUCAAAGGUGUUCCUAGCGAUUAGAAACACAAGACAAUUGCUUCCCUUCACUUAAAGGAAAGCCUUCUCUAUCUCGGAGACGAGUCACCUUCCAAAGAAUGCGCAGGGAUCAUCACCAGGACCCUCUUGCUAACUGUGAAAAACAAACACAGCGGACAAAACCAAGCCCUUCAGCAGUGACAGAACGGAACCAGUGUUUCUUAGUGAGUAGACGUGGGGCCAAAAAAGACCGGAUCUCUUCAAGCUCACCUGGCCACAUUCUCUUCCUGCUGCUCCCAGAUGUCCCACCAGACUGUCGCUCUGCGGGACUCAAACAUUUCUUGAAGGGUCAUAGCAUUGUCCACAGUGGUCAAAAUGUGGAAAUAACCCAAAGGUCCAUCAACAGAUGAAUAAACAAAAUGUGGUGUGUAUAUGGAAUAUUAUUCAGUGUUAGAAAGGAAAGAUGGCGGGGCACAGUGGCUCACGCCUGUAAUCGCAGCACUUUGGGAGGUUGAAACUGG